This 497-nucleotide ribosomal RNA is filed under the name uncultured bacterium. Its description in RNAcentral is "partial 16S ribosomal RNA". It matches the Rfam family "Bacterial small subunit ribosomal RNA", at positions 28 to 507 of the family's 1533-position model. The record is from RNAcentral.
GAUGAACGCUGGCAGCGUGCCUAAUACGUGCAAGUCGAGCGAACAGACGAGGAGCUUGCUCCUCUGACGUUAGCGGCGGACGGGUGAGUAACACGUGGAUAACCUACCUAUAAGACUGGGAUAACUUCGGGAAACCGGAGCUAAUACCGGAUAAUAUAUUGAACCGCAUGGUUCAAUAGUGAAAGACGGUUUUGCUGUCACUUAUAGAUGGAUCCGCGCCGCAUUAGCUAGUUGGUAAGGUAACGGCUUACCAAGGCGACGAUGCGUAGCCGACCUGAGAGGGUGAUCGGCCACACUGGAACUGAGACACGGUCCAGACUCCUACGGGAGGCAGCAGUAGGGAAUCUUCCGCAAUGGGCGAAAGCCUGACGGAGCAACGCCGCGUGAGUGAUGAAGGUCUUCGGAUCGUAAAACUCUGUUAUUAGGGAAGAACAAAUGUGUAAGUAACUAUGCACGUCUUGACGGUACCUAAUCAGAAAGCCACGGCUAACUACGUG